CAUAAUAGAGCUACUCCUUAUAGACAUAGGAUAGCCAUUUUCUUUCAAACCACCACAUACAGGAAUAAAUGAAGAAGAGGGAAGUAGGACAUUGGGCUGAGAACUAAAGAUGAGAAAAGAGAAGUGUUGACAUGCUUGUGAGCAUUAUGGUCUGUGUUUCUGGAAACACUGGAUUUGUCCGGUCUCUACCUUAAUUUGGCUUUGCUGAACAAACUUUAUGUGUGCUACCCACCGUCUUGCCAUUUUCUCCAAGGUCUGACUGUUUCUGAGAGAGUAAUAACCUAGCUAUUCUUUAAACACACCCAAUUUUCUCUGAUUUUAGCAUGUUCAUUUCUUGAGCCAUGACUUUCUAGCCCUUUACAUAAGCAUCCUUACUUUGUGAAACCUCAGAAUAAAACCUUUAAAUUGCUGAACCA
Molecule: long non-coding RNA, 416 nt
Filed under: Mus spicilegus (steppe mouse)
Lineage: Eukaryota; Metazoa; Chordata; Mammalia; Rodentia; Muridae
Description: lncRNA (ENSMSIG00000022651.1)
Source: RNAcentral